GAUGAACGCUGGCGGCGUGCCUAAUACAUGCAAGUCGAGCGAACAGAUGAGGAGCUUGCUCCUCUGACGUUAGCGGCGGACGGGUGAGUAACACGUGGAUAACCUACCUAUAAGACUGGGAUAACUUCGGGAAACCGGAGCUAAUACCGGAUAAUAUUUUGAACCGCAUGGUUCAAAAGUGAAAGACGGUCUUGCUGUCACUUAUAGAUGGAUCCGCGCUGCAUUAGCUAGUUGGUAAGGUAACGGCUUACCAAGGCAACGAUGCAUAGCCGACCUGAGAGGGUGAUCGGCCACACUGGAACUGAGACACGGUCCAGACUCCUACGGGAGGCAGCAGUAGGGAAUCUUCCGCAAUGGGCGAAAGCCUGACGGAGCAACGCCGCGUGAGUGAUGAAGGUCUUCGGAUCGUAAAACUCUGUUAUUAGGGAAGAACAUAUGUGUAAGUAACUGUGCACAUCUUGACGGUACCUAAUCAGAAAGCCACGGCUAACUACGUG
Molecule: ribosomal RNA, 497 nt
Filed under: uncultured bacterium
Lineage: Bacteria
Description: partial 16S ribosomal RNA
Rfam family: Bacterial small subunit ribosomal RNA
Source: RNAcentral